This 498-nucleotide ribosomal RNA is filed under the name uncultured bacterium. RNAcentral describes it as "partial 16S ribosomal RNA". It matches the Rfam family "Bacterial small subunit ribosomal RNA", at positions 28 to 523 of the family's 1533-position model. The record is from RNAcentral.
GAUGAACGCUAGCUACAGGCUUAACACAUGCAAGUCGAGGGGUAGCAGGGUAGCAAUACCGCUGACGACCGGCGCACGGGUGAGUAACACGUAUCCAACCUUCCCAUAACUCGGGGAUAGCCUUUCGAAAGAAAGAUUAACACCCGAUAGUACUUAUAUAGGGCAUCCUAUAUAAGUUAAAGAUUUAUUGGUUAUGGAUGGGGAUGCGUUCCAUUAGAUAGUUGGUGAGGUAACGGCUCACCAAGUCUUCGAUGGAUAGGGGUUCUGAGAGGAAGGUCCCCCACAUUGGUACUGAGACACGGACCAAACUCCUACGGGAGGCAGCAGUGAGGAAUAUUGGUCAAUGGGCGAGAGCCUGAACCAGCCAAGUAGCGUGAAGGAUGAAGGUCCUAUGGAUUGUAAACUUCUUUUAUAGUAGAAUAAAGUGAUCCACGUGUGGAUUUUUGUAUGUAUACUAUGAAUAAGGAUCGGCUAACUCCGUGCCAGCCGCCGCAGUAA